RNAcentral lists this ribosomal RNA (223 nucleotides) under Chloropicon mariensis. RNAcentral's name for it is "partial Bacterial large subunit ribosomal RNA". It matches the Rfam family "Bacterial large subunit ribosomal RNA", at positions 141 to 348 of the family's 2925-position model. Lineage: Eukaryota; Viridiplantae; Chlorophyta; Chloropicophyceae; Chloropicales; Chloropicaceae. The record is from RNAcentral.
UGUGUGGUGACCCGCACCUGAAUAUAUAGGGUGUGUGGAGGGAACGUCGGGAAGUGAAACAUCUCAGUACCGACAGGAAGAGAAAACAACAGUGAUUCCGUCAGUAGUGGCGAGCGAACGCGGAAGAGGCCAAACCUCAUGCGUGUGAUAGCUGACAGGCGUUGCGCAUGUGGUGUUGUGGGGCCGUUCUAGUCGUGCUGUCGAACGACUAAGCAGUAAGAAA